Molecule: ribosomal RNA, 465 nt
Filed under: uncultured Methylocaldum sp.
Lineage: Bacteria; Pseudomonadati; Pseudomonadota; Gammaproteobacteria; Methylococcales; Methylococcaceae
Description: bacterial SSU rRNA
Rfam family: Bacterial small subunit ribosomal RNA
Source: RNAcentral
CCUACGGGUGGCAGCAGUGGGGAAUAUUGGACAAUGGGCGCAAGCCUGAUCCAGCAAUGCCGCGUGUGUGAAGAAGGCCUGCGGGUUGUAAAGCACUUUAAGCAGGGAAGAAUGGACUAAGGCUAAUAUCCUUGGUCAGUGACGUUACCUGCAGAAUAAGCACCGGCUAACUCCGUGCCAGCAGCCGCGGUAAUACGGAGGGUGCGAGCGUUAAUCGGAAUUACUGGGCGUAAAGCGCGCGUAGGCGGUUGGCUAAGUUUGCUGUGAAAGCCCCGGGCUUAACCUGGGAACUGCAGUGAAUACUGGUCAGCUAGAGUAUGGUAGAGGGUAGUGGAAUUUCCGGUGUAGCAGUGAAAUGCGUAGAGAUCGGAAGGAACACCAGUGGCGAAGGCGGCUAUCUGGACCAAUACUGACGCUGAGGUGCGAAAGCGUGGGGAGCAAACAGGAUUAGAUACCCCAGUAGUC